RNAcentral lists this ribosomal RNA (480 nucleotides) under uncultured bacterium. RNAcentral's name for it is "partial 16S ribosomal RNA". It matches the Rfam family "Bacterial small subunit ribosomal RNA", at positions 28 to 523 of the family's 1533-position model. The record is from RNAcentral.
GACGAACGCUGGCGGCGUGCUCUAUACAUGCAAGUCGAACGAUGAAGUUCCUUCGGGAAUGGAUUAGUGGCGAACGGGUGAGGAACACGUGAGAAACCUGCCUUUCAUUCUGGGAUAACACCGGGAAACCGGUGCUAAUACCGGAUACUCCGUCUUGGCGGCAUCGCCGAGCCGGGAAAAAAUUUUGAUGAAAGAUGGUCUCGCGGCCUAUCAGCUAGUUGGUGAGGUAAUGGCUCACCAAGGCGAUGACGGGUAGCCGGCCUGAGAGGGCGACCGGCCACACUGGGACUGAGACACGGCCCAGACUCCUACGGGAGGCAGCAGUAGGGAAUAUUGGGCAAUGGGCGCAAGCCUGACCCAGCGACGCCGCGUGAGGGAUGAAGGUCUUCGGAUUGUAAACCUCUUUCAGUAGGGAAGAAGCGAAAGUGACGGUACCUAAAGAAGAAGCACCGGCUAACUAUGUGCCAGCAGCCGCAGUAA